Molecule: long non-coding RNA, 3114 nt
Organism: Equus asinus (donkey)
Lineage: Eukaryota; Metazoa; Chordata; Mammalia; Perissodactyla; Equidae
Source: Ensembl
GCGGCACCGGGUGGACCCGCUUGUUCCCGCCUCCCUCUUCGCCCAGCCAGUUCCCGUUGGCUGUCUGUCUGGGACAGGCACAAUGAUGGCGCUCCUGGAGCUCGGGGGCGGGGAGCUUUUCAGAGUGUAGAAUUUUCCUGCGAGUUGGACUCUUCACCAACUGACUGUCCCGAGGGGGCUGAAGCUGCUGCCCGGGUCAGUGGCGAGGUUCGGCGCAAUCUCUGGCUUGUAACUAGAGUCCGACGCUGGAUGCGCGGGGUGACGGUGCUGUCUUCACGUGAGCUUUUCAGUCUUCUUUAGCCCUGACUCAGUCAGAAGCCUAGUCGGGCGCGUUUGGCACCGCACCGUCAGUCCUACAGAUGCAUUCAAUUAAUGUCCGGGGAGAGGUCUCUGAGCUAGUUUGGUGUCUCUGCCUAGGAAGUAAAGUGUGUCGCUAGCUUUAUCAAGAUAUUACUGACAUAUAACAUAAGUAAGUUUAAGGUAUACAACGCGAUGAUUUGGUGCACCCUACAGUUGGCUCUCCGUAUCCGCAAGUUCCGCAUCUGCAGAUUGAGCCAACCACAGAUCCUGUACUUCUGUGUUUAUGAUCCGAGAAUGCAGAACCCCCGGAUAUUGAGGGCCUACUAAGGGACAGAGGCUCCGUGGAUUUUGGUAUCCACGGGGGUCCUGGAACCAAUCCCCCGUGGAUACCGAGGGACAACUGUAUCUUGUGGGAUGAUUGCCACAACAAGGUUAGUUAACGCCCUGUCCCCUCAUGUAAUUACCAUUUUUUUGUUUGGGUAACAUUUAAGAUCUACUCUCAACAACUUUCAGUAUAUAACACAGUACUGUUAAUGUUAUACGUUAGAUUGCCAGAACUUAUUCAUCUUAUGGCUGGAAGUUUGUACCCCUUGACCAAGAUUUGCCCCAGUACAUUUGCCCCAGUGCAUUUGCUGAUCUCCAUCUCUCUGAGUUUGGCUUUGUUAGAUUCCACACGGACGUGAGAACAUACGCUGUCUUUCUCUGUCUGACUUAUUUCACUUAGCGUAAAGCCUUCAGGGUCCAUCCAUGUCGUUGCAAAAGGCAGGAUUUUCUUCUAUUUUAUAGCUGAAUAACGUUCCAUCGUAUAUGUAUACACCACCUUUUCUUCAUCCAUUCAUCCAUCCAUGGACACCUAGGUUGUUUCCGUAGCUUGGCCGUAGCUGCGAUGUAAAUCUUAAAAUCGGUGUUACUCCUUCAGUUUUAUUUUUUGUUUUCAAAAUUAUUUGGCUGUUCUAGUUUCUUCGCCUCUCCAUAUAAAUUUUACAAUCAGUUAGUCUCUAUCUACAAAACAUGAUGCUGGGAUUUUUUAUUGGAAUUGUAUGAAAUUGAUGGAUCCAUUUGGGGACUAUUGGCAUCUUAAUUAUAUUGAAUUUAUCAACCCAUGAGCACAGUAUAUGUCUCCAUAUAUUUAGGUCUUCUUUUGUUUCUUUCCUCAGCUUUUUGUGGUUUUUUUUUUUAAUUUUGUUUUGUAAUCGUUCAUUGAUAGUAUUUAGAAAUACUCUUGAUUUUUUGUGUUGAGCUUGUAUCCUGCAACAUUGCUGAGCUCACCUGUUAUAGGAGAUUUUAAAAAUAGAUUUCAUGGGAUUUUCUAUGUAGAUAAUCAUGUCUACAUUCAUCAAUGAAUUGGAGCAGUUUUAUUUCCUCCUUCCCAAUCUGUAAGCCAUUUCUUUUUCUUGCCUUACUAGAGUGGCUAGGACUUCCAGUACAAUGUUGAAUAGCAGGAGUGAGAAAGUGGCCAUCCUCCUGGCGUCAUUCCUGAUCUUAGGAAGAAAGCCUUUAGUCUUUCUCCAUUAAGUAGGAUGGAAGGUGUAGGUAUUUUUGUAGAUGCUCUAUAUCAGGCUAAGAAAGCUCCCUUCUACUCCUGAAUGUUUUUAUCAUGAAUGGCUGUUGAAUUUUGUCAGACGCUUUUUCUGCAUCAAUUGAUAGGAUCAUGUGGUUCUUUUUCUUUGGUUCGCUAAUAUGGUGGACUUAGUGAUUGAUUUUUGAAUACUCCACCAGCUUUGCACUUUUGGGAUAAACCCCACUUGGUCAUGGUGUAUUAUUCUGUUUAUAUGUUACUGAAUUUGAUUUGUUAAUGCUGUUUUUGUCUGAUUUUGGUAUCGGGAUAAUGCUAAUCUGAUAGAGUGAUUCAAGAAGUGUUCCCUCUCUUCUGUUUCCUUGAAGAGACUGUGUAGAAUUGCUGUGAUUUCUUCUUAAGUGUUUGGUAGGAUUUUCCAGGGAAUACCAUAGGAGCCUGGAGAUUUCUGAAGUUUUUCAACGACAAAUUUGAUUUUUUAGUAGAUAUGUAUCUAUUCGGAUUAUCUGUUUACUUUUGGUUGGGCUUUGAUAGUUUGUGUCUUUCAAGCAAUUGUUCCAUUUUAUCUUAAGUUGCCAGAUGUGGGAACGUGCAGUUACUUAUAGGAUCCUUUUAAUUUCUGUGGAGCCUGUAACCUGUUUUAUUCCUGAUGUUGGGAAGUUGUGUCUUUUCUUUAUUUAUCUUUCCGUUGUUGUUGUUGUUGUUGUCAGCCUGGGUAGUUUAUGGAUUUUAUUGACCUUUUCAAAGAACUAGUUUUGGUUUCAUUGAUUAUGUCUAUUCUUUUUCCGAUUUCUGCUCCAAUCUCUAUUUCCCUUAUUCUGCUUGCUUUGAGUUUAUCUUCAUUUUCUUUUUCUAGUUUCUUAAGGUGGAAGCUUUCAUCCUUGAUUUGGGUCCUUCAUUCUUUCUAAGACAAGCAUUUGAUGCUGGACAUUUACUGCUAAGCAUUGCUUUAGCUGCAUCCUGCAAAUUUUGAUGUGUUGUAUUUUCAUUUUCAUUCAGUUCAAAAUAUUUUCUAAUUUCCCCUGAGUCUUGCUCUUUGACCCAUGGAUUAUUUAGAAGUGUAUAGUUUAAUUUCCUUGUGUUUGGAGAUUUUCCUCUUAACUUUUUCUUACUUCUCGGUGGCUUUUCUCUUUUGGUCGGACAACAUUCUUUGUAUGAUUUCAACUAUAUUUACAUUUGGUAAGAUUUGUUUUAUGACCUAGAAUAUGAUCUACCUUGGUGAAACUUCCAUAUGCACUUGAAAUAAAUGUACAUUCCACUGUUGUUAUGUGGAGAGUUCCAAACUUGUCAGUUACAUC